Molecule: microRNA, 24 nt
Filed under: Panax ginseng (ginseng)
Lineage: Eukaryota; Viridiplantae; Streptophyta; Magnoliopsida; Apiales; Araliaceae
Description: pgi-miR6141
Source: miRBase by way of RNAcentral
UAACUAAAUCUGGCCUGUAGCGGA